RNAcentral lists this ribosomal RNA (111 nucleotides) under Clavulina rugosa. Its description in RNAcentral is "5.8S ribosomal RNA". It matches the Rfam family "5.8S ribosomal RNA", at positions 1 to 111 of the family's 154-position model. Rfam says of the family: 5.8S ribosomal RNA (5.8S rRNA) is a component of the large subunit of the eukaryotic ribosome. It is transcribed by RNA polymerase I as part of the 45S precursor that also contains 18S and 28S rRNA. Functionally, it is thought that 5.8S rRNA may be involved in ribosome translocation. Lineage: Eukaryota; Fungi; Basidiomycota; Agaricomycetes; Cantharellales; Hydnaceae. The record is from RNAcentral.
AACUUUUAACAACGGAUCUCUUGGCUCUCGCAUCGAUGAAGAACGCAGCGAAAUGCGAUAAGUAAUGUGAAUUGCAGAAUUCAGUGAAUCAUCGAAUCUUUGAACGCACCU